UUGGCUUAGAAGCAGCCAUCCUUGAAAGAGUGCGUAAUAGCUCACUGGUCAAGUGGUUCUGCGCCGACAAUGUAGCGGGGCUCAAGCGUACCGCCGAAGCUGUGGCAACAACACGUGAUGCUGGCGCCAGGAACUGGAGUGCUGGUGUGUUGUUGGGUAGGGGAGCGUCCUGCACGAGGUGAAGCCUGGAGGGAACUUCUGGUGGAUUGUGUGGGAGUGAGAAUGCAGGCAUGAGUAACGAAUCUGCGGUGAGAAUCCGCAGCGCCGAUUGACUAAGGGUUCCAGGGCUAGGUUUAUCCGCCCUGGGUUAGUCGGGUCCUAAGGCGAGGCCGACAGGCGUAGUCGAUGGACAACCAGUUGAUAUUCUGGUACCGCGUUAUGACCGCCCAUGCUGAAGUCAUUGUGCUAACCAAUUUGCUCACACCACCUCUAAGCCUUCGGGUUUUUGGGUGUGUGUGGGUCUUGGGGCCCCGGUGAUUGUAGGCAAGCGUGUUAACAGGGGUGACGCAGACAGGUAGCUGCAGUGCGCCGAUGGUUGUGCGUAUUUAAGGUUGUGGCCCGCCUCCCAGGCAAAUCCGGGGGGCAUGUGGGUGAGAACUGAUGAGGGACACACGCGUGUGUGGACUUGUGGUGAUCCUAAGCUGCCGAGAAAAGCCUCGACGUGAGGGCAUAACGCGCCCGUACCCUAAACCGACUCAGGUGGUCAGGUAGAGUAUACCGAGGCGUUCGAGUGAAUCGUGGUUAAGGAACUCGGCAAAAUUCCUCCGUAACUUCGGGAUAAGGAGGACCCCGUGACUUCCCAAUGCUUUGCGUGUUGGUGGGGUUGUGGGGUCGCAGAGAAUAGGGAGAAGCGACUGUUUAUCAAAAACACAGGUGCGUGCGAAGCCGUAAGGCGAUGUAUACGCACUGACGCCUGCCCGGUGCUGGAAGGUUAAGAGGAACCGUCAACACCCCCCGGGGUGUGAAGCGGUGAAUUUAAGCCCCAGUAAACGGCGGUGGUAACUAUAACCAUCCUAAGGUAGCGAAAUUCCUUGUCGGGUAAGUUCCGACCUGCACGAAUGGCGUAACGACUUCUCCGCUGUCUCAACCGCGAACUCGGUGAAAUUGCAGUACGAGUAAAGAUGCUCGUUUCGCGCAGAAGGACGGAAAGACCCCGGGACCUUUACUACAGCUUGGUAUUGGCGCCCGCUAUAGCUUGUGCAGGAUAGGUGGGAGACUGUGAAGCCGUUACGCCAGUGGCGGUGGAGUCGUCCUUGAAAUACCACUCUGGUUAUGGCGUGCGCCUGAACCUGGGCCCGUGAUCCGGGUUAGGGACAGUGCCUGGUGGGUAGUUUAACUGGGGCGGUUGCCUCCUAAAAUGUAACGGAGGCGCUCAAAGGUUCCCUCAGCCUGGUUGGUAAUCAGGUGGCGAGUGCAAGUGUACAAGGGAGCUUGACUGUGAGACCGACGGGUCGAGCAGGUGCGAAAGCAGGAACUAGUGAUCCGGCCAUGGCACGUGGGUGCGUGGUCGCUCAACGGAUAAAAGGUACCCCGGGGAUAACAGGCUGAUCUUGCCCAAGAGUCCAUAUCGACGGCAUGGUUUGGCACCUCGAUGUCGGCUCGUCGCAUCCUGGGGCUGGAGUCGGUCCCAAGGGUUGGGCUGUUCGCCCAUUAAAGCGGUACGCGAGCUGGGUUCAGAACGUCGUGAGACAGUUCGGUCCCUAUCCUCUGUGCGCGCAGGAAAUUUGAGAAGGGCCGUCCCUAGUACGAGAGGACCGGGAUGGACGAACCUCUGGUGUGCCAGUUGUACCGCCAGGUGCAUGGCUGGUUGGCUACGUUCGGAAGGGAUAACCGCUGAAAGCAUCUAAGCGGGAAGCCUGCUUCAAGAUGAGGUUUCCACGCCCCCCAGUGGGGUGAGAGGCCCCCGCCAGACUAGCGGGUAGAUAGGCCAGAGGUGGAAGCACCGCAAGGUGCUCG
Molecule: ribosomal RNA, 1956 nt
Filed under: human oral metagenome
Description: bacterial LSU rRNA
Rfam family: Bacterial large subunit ribosomal RNA
Source: RNAcentral